AAUGGAGGGACGAACAGAGCGUAGCAGCAGAGUGUGAACGUUUUGCAUUGAAGAUCAGUCUUGCAGCUGUAUGCAUAAUGGAUUGGGGAUCAGUAUGAGAUCCCAGCUUAUGGGAUACCAGCAAUCGACAUACCAAUGCCAGGAUCCCUGAGUUUACAAUACCGACACAGUAUGUAUCAUAUUCAAUAACAGGCAUGCAGCCACCUCUGGGGUAAAACGCCAUCUAUCAUCUGUCACUUCAUGAUCUCUACAACAGAUUCCAAGGGGAGAAAGAGGAAGAAGGUAUAUCUAUUAGCCUGGUACUGCUGGGUAAACUGAGUCAUGGAGAGGAAGUAGAGGGAUUUAAGACAUUUUAAAAGCUAAUGAGAUAUCCAAGUACAUUUUAGAGAAAGAAGAAUGUAGAACAGUUCCAGCAUCACACAGGCUUCCCUUUCAUGUCUUGGAAAAAGAAGUAAAAAGGAGGUCACAAAACAGGAUACACUGGACUUGAUUCACAGCACAAAAGCAUAGCACAAAGUAUGGGACAAACAGUGAAGUUUUAUGUAAGGAAAGGAGUGGUAAUAAUAAAGUGGUA
This is a long non-coding RNA of Pseudophryne corroboree (corroboree frog), 574 nucleotides long. RefSeq lists it as uncharacterized. NCBI's taxonomy places the organism in Eukaryota, Metazoa, Chordata, Amphibia, Anura, Myobatrachidae. The record is from RefSeq and is a predicted model, not a curated record. The transcript is spliced from 3 exons.